CCUGGUAGUCCACGCCGUAAACGAUGUCGACUUGGAGGUUGUGCCCUUGAGGCGUGGCUUCCGGAGCUAACGCGUUAAGUCGACCGCCUGGGGAGUACGGCCGCAAGGUUAAAACUCAAAUGAAUUGACGGGGGCCCGCACAAGCGGUGGAGCAUGUGGUUUAAUUCGAUGCAACGCGAAGAACCUUACCUGGUCUUGACAUCCACGGAAGUUUUCAGAGAUGAGAAUGUGCCUUCGGGAACCGUGAGACAGGUGCUGCAUGGCUGUCGUCAGCUCGUGUUGUGAAAUGUUGGGUUAAGUCCCGCAACGAGCGCAACCCUUAUCCUUUGUUGCCAGCGGUCCGGCCGGGAACUCAAAGGAGACUGCCAGUGAUAAACUGGAGGAAGGUGGGGAUGACGUCAAGUCAUCAUGGCCCUUACGACCAGGGCUACACACGUGCUACAAUGGCGCAUACAAAGAGAAGCGACCUCGCGAGAGCAAGCGGACCUCAUAAAGUGCGUCGUAGUCCGGAUUGGAGUCUGCAACUCGACUCCAUGAAGUCGGAAUCGCUAGUAAUCGUGGAUCAGAAUGCCACGGUGAAUACGUUCCCGGGCCUUGUACACACCGCCCGUCACACCAUGGGAGUGGGUUGCAAAAGAAGUAGGUAGCUUAACCUUCGGGAGGGCGCUUACCACUUUGUA
RNAcentral lists this ribosomal RNA (680 nucleotides) under uncultured bacterium. RNAcentral describes it as "bacterial SSU rRNA". It matches the Rfam family "Bacterial small subunit ribosomal RNA", at positions 786 to 1466 of the family's 1533-position model. The record is from RNAcentral.